Molecule: long non-coding RNA, 1291 nt
Organism: Acinonyx jubatus (cheetah)
Lineage: Eukaryota; Metazoa; Chordata; Mammalia; Carnivora; Felidae
Exons: 4
Source: RefSeq, a predicted model, not a curated record
ACUGACGACACAAGGGGUGGGCAGUUUCUUCCAGCGAGCUGAGUUCAUUGGCUCCUAAGGAGCUGCCGCUCAUCGCCAAAGGAACGCUGAUAGGCUCGCCCCGUGGAAAGAGGCGGGAUCUUUGGGGCCCUAACAGUGCCAGUUCUAAAACUAAACAACUGCCUCCUUCAGCUCCUGCUGUUCAGAGAGGUCUCUUCUCGCACUGCCAGAGCAACCAAGAUUUUAAUUUGACCGUGGUUAAAUGACCCAUUUGGACCAGGCCAGCCAGGCAGGAUGGGAGAGCGCCAUGGGGGUUCUGAAAGUACCCUCAAGAACACUGGGAAGUGCCCCCCCCCACAUCUGAGGCCACCUUUGACCUUCCAAAUGAUGAAGACUUAUUGCUGAGCUGCAUCUUGAGAGGCACAGACAGAAGACCAGAGACAUCCGCUCCCAAAGGCAAUUUAAGGCCUCUGGUCCUACCAGGCCAGGCUGAUCAGAGGGCUGGUAUCACUUCCCUUCUUCUCUGCCAAUGAUAUCUGUUAUUUGGAAAAAGAAAAAAAAAAAAAAAGAAAAAGGAAAAUGAGGCACUGGGCUCCUCUCAUUUUAAGGUCACCUCAAAGUGGCCAAGGAUACUGCGUUGUGAAGUUUUCUCCCCCACUGAACAGGACUGACGUGUAACAAAUAGGAUAUUGUAGAAAUGAGAGUGUGAGUUGCAAGGUUAAGUCCUAACACUGCAGUUUCCAACUUGUCCUCUCUUGGAUCACCCAUUCUGGGGGAAGCCUGUUCCCAUGUCCUAAAGACACUCAAGCAGCCCUAUUGAAGAGAGGUCCAUCUGGUGAAAGAACUAAGGCCACCUGCCAACAACCAGCACCAACUUGCAAGAUGGGCAGCUGAAUCACCUUGGAAAGUAAAUCUUCCAGUCCCAAUGAAGCAUUCAGGGAACUGCAGCCUCAGUCAACAUCUUGACUACAACCUUAUAUGAGAAAUCCAGAGACAGAAUUAUGCCAGCUAAACCACCACCGAAUUCCUGACCCUCAGAAACUUCCUGAAGUAAUACACAUAUUAUUUUAAACCACAAAGUUUUGGGGCAAUUUGUUAUGUGGCAAUAGAUAAAAUUGCAAACAACUACAUACCUACUACCAGCUUGUCAUAUUAGCAUUUGGUUUAUUUAUUACAGAUUUUUAAUUUUCUUUUUUAACAUUUUUAAUCAAUUUUUUUUGUUUUUUUAUUUAUUUUGAGACAGAGACAGGGUGAAUGGGAGAGUGGCAGAGAGAGAGGGAGAGAGAGAAUCCUAAGCAGGCCCAUGCUGUUA